Molecule: long non-coding RNA, 233 nt
Filed under: Mytilus galloprovincialis (Mediterranean mussel)
Lineage: Eukaryota; Metazoa; Mollusca; Bivalvia; Mytilida; Mytilidae
Source: RNAcentral
CAUGUAAACUUUAUUGUAAUGCUUUCAGAUCAACAAUCGGUGCUUGAUAGGUCUCGACCAAUUGGUUGUAAUUUGCCGUCUGUUUGUCCAAGACGUAGUAACCAACAUAAUCGUUGUCCAAAUUCUGAGCCAUUUGAUACUGGAAGAAACUGCAAAGUAUUAAGGUCGACCAUCAGACUUUAUAACAGACAGCAGCGGGAUGGUAGACCUGGUGACUACAUGUAUGGGAAAAA